This 769-nucleotide long non-coding RNA is filed under the name Phascolarctos cinereus (koala). RNAcentral describes it as "lncRNA (ENSPCIG00000013688.2)". The record is from RNAcentral. Lineage: Eukaryota; Metazoa; Chordata; Mammalia; Diprotodontia; Phascolarctidae.
UGACAAUUCCUGACCUCUCGCCUCCUGGACAGAGGAAGGGAAUCUUCCAUGGCAACAAAUCCCAGAAUUUAGCUUUAGAGCUAGAAAAAGCAGAGUCCAGACUCGUUUCCCUUCCAAGGGGUGUUACUGAAUGUGGAGGACUUCAGGACCUUGGGACGAAAGCCUGCAAAUUUGGAGACGUCUUCAUGGAGAAUUGAGCCCUCCUUGGCAUAGCAACAUUGAAGCCCUCAACAUUUGGGCCAGUAUGGGAAUGGCAGAUAGACUAAGGAGGCCCACAUAUUUGGACAUAUUUUUAACAAUCCCAUGAACACACUUGCCUGCUGCCAUGAAGCAAGUGGGUUUGAAGAGCCUGCACAGACCUGUUUUAUUCACUGCCAACCCAACGGAAAUCUGCUAAUAAGAAAAGUGGGGAACUGAAGUGCUGAUCUACAUUAGCCUAACCGAUAACAAACGACACAUCGCCAUUCAUUACUUCGGCCAUCAGAAUCAAGCAGAGUGCCUGAAAAUUGCUGUGCUGUGCACUCAGAAAUCCAGAAGGGCCCAGGAAAGCUCUUACAAUGGAUUGGCCUUACUUCCAAAUGAUACAUAGCUCAGAUGCCGAAUGCCUGGUGAUCCAGAGAGAGAGGUUCAGUUUAUAUCUGGUGGAGAUGUUGCCAAUACCCUCGUGCCACUUGUGGGUGACAUCAAGACUUUCGGUUCCAAACUAUUAACAUGAAACCAGGCAUAAUAUGUUGGGGAAACAAAGGGCCAUAGUGGCAGUGAAAUCUGU